AACGCACCUUGCGCUCCUUGGUAUUCCGAGGAGCAUGCCUGUUUGAGUGUCAUUAAAUUCUCAACCUCUCUAGUUUUUAUUAACUAGUAGAUGGCUUGGAUGUGGGGGUUUAUUUUGCCGGCUUUCACAAGUCAGCUCCCCUUAAAUGUAUUAGCCGGUGCCCUCUAACUGUCUAUUGGUGUGAUAAUUAUCUACGCCGUGGACUUGGUUGCAUUGCUUCUAACUGUCCUUUAUGGACAAUAUAAUGACAUUUUGACCUCAAAUCAGGUAGGACUACCCGCUGAACUUAA
RNAcentral lists this unclassified non-coding RNA (290 nucleotides) under uncultured Psilocybe. RNAcentral describes it as "sequence contains ITS2". The stretch from base 1 to 52 matches the Rfam family "5.8S ribosomal RNA", at positions 103 to 154 of the family's 154-position model. Lineage: Eukaryota; Fungi; Basidiomycota; Agaricomycetes; Agaricales; Strophariaceae. The record is from RNAcentral.